GGCUGGUUUGAUGAUAGUGGGCUAUCAGAACUUAUUAACAUUAGUGUCAUUAAAGUUGGUAUACAACCUCCCACUGCUUAAAAAAAAUGACUGGCUUAAA
Colobus angolensis palliatus is the source of this 100-nucleotide unclassified non-coding RNA. It matches the Rfam family "Y RNA". From Rfam's summary of the family: Y RNAs are components of the Ro ribonucleoprotein particle (Ro RNP), in association with Ro60 and La proteins. The Y RNAs and Ro60 and La proteins are well conserved, but the function of the Ro RNP is not known. NCBI's taxonomy places the organism in Eukaryota, Metazoa, Chordata, Mammalia, Primates, Cercopithecidae. The record is from Ensembl.